AUACGUAGGGGGCGAGCGUUGUCCGGAAUGAUUGGGCGUAAAGGGCGCGUAGGCGGCGCGGUAAGUCUGGAGUGAAAGUCCUGCUUUCAAGGUGGGAAUUGCUUUGGAUACUGCCGCGCUUGAGUGCAGGAGAGGUUAUCGGAAUUCCCGGUGUAGCGGUGAAAUGCGUAGAGAUCGGGAGGAACACCAGUGGCGAAGGCGGGUAACUGGACUGCAACUGACGCUGAGGCGCGAAAGCGUGGGGAGCGAACAGGAUUAGAUACCCUGGUAGUCCACACUGUAAACGAUGAAUGCUAGGUGUAGGGGGUAUCGACCCCUUCUGUGCCGCAGUCAACACAAUAAGCAUUCCGCCUGGGGAGUACGGCCGCAAGGUUGAAACUCAAAUGAAUUGACGGGG
RNAcentral lists this ribosomal RNA (397 nucleotides) under uncultured bacterium. RNAcentral describes it as "partial 16S ribosomal RNA". It matches the Rfam family "Bacterial small subunit ribosomal RNA", at positions 523 to 918 of the family's 1533-position model. The record is from RNAcentral.